GGGGAUUUAGCUCAGUGGUAGAGCACUUGCCUAGCAAGCGCAGGGCCCUGGGUUCGGUCCCCAGCUCCCCCC
Rattus norvegicus (Norway rat) is the source of this 72-nucleotide non-coding RNA. The record is from Rfam. Lineage: Eukaryota; Metazoa; Chordata; Mammalia; Rodentia; Muridae.